UACGAAGGGUGCUAGCGUUGUUCGGAAUCACUGGGCGUAAAGCGCGCGUAGGCGGCUUUUCAAGUCAGGGGUGAAAUCCCACGGCUCAACCGUGGAAUUGCCUUUGAAACUGUAAAGCUUGAGUGUCGGAGGGGAUAGCGGAAUUCCUAAUGUAGAGGUGAAAUUCGUAGAUAUUAGGAGGAACACCGGUGGCGAAGGCGGCUAUCUGGACGACAACUGACGCUGAGGCGCGAAAGCGCGGGGAUCAAACAGG
This 253-nucleotide ribosomal RNA is filed under the name uncultured bacterium. RNAcentral's name for it is "partial 16S ribosomal RNA". It matches the Rfam family "Bacterial small subunit ribosomal RNA", at positions 524 to 776 of the family's 1533-position model. The record is from RNAcentral.